GGCCGGAUAAGUCGUUCACGCCGCAUCCGGCAAUCAACGCCUGAUGCGACGCUUGCGCGUCUUAUCAGGCC
RNAcentral lists this non-coding RNA (71 nucleotides) under Escherichia marmotae. Its description in RNAcentral is "Nucleoid-associated noncoding RNA 4 (CssrE)". It matches the Rfam family "Nucleoid-associated noncoding RNA 4 (CssrE)". Rfam says of the family: In E. coli small RNA transcribed from repeated extragenic palindromic element (REP325) called nucleoid-associated ncRNA 4 (nRNA4) collaborates HU protein in condensing the DNA. The secondary structure but not the sequence of the RNA is important in nucleoid condensation. Lineage: Bacteria; Pseudomonadati; Pseudomonadota; Gammaproteobacteria; Enterobacterales; Enterobacteriaceae. The record is from RNAcentral.